CUACGGGUGGCUCCAGUGGGGAAUAUUGCACAAUGGGCGAAAGCCUGAUGCAGCAACGCCGCGUGGAGGAUGACACAUUUCGGUGCGUAAACUCCUUUUAUAUAAGAAGAUAAUGACGGUAUUAUAUGAAUAAGCACCGGCUAACUCCGUGCCAGCAGCCGCGGUAAUACGGGGGGUGCAAGCGUUACUCGGAAUCACUGGGCGUAAAGAGCAUGUAGGCGGGAUGACAAGUUGGAAGUGAAAUCCUAUGGCUUAACCAUAGAACUGCUUCCAAAACUGUCUUCCUAGAGUAUGGGAGAGGUAGAUGGAAUUUCCGGUGUAGGGGUAAAAUCCGUAGAGAUCAGAAGGAAUACCGAUUGCGAAGGCGAUCUACUGGAACAUUACUGACGCUCAGAUGCGAAAGCGUGGGGAGCAAACAGGAUUAGAUACCCCAGUAGUC
RNAcentral lists this ribosomal RNA (439 nucleotides) under uncultured bacterium. Its description in RNAcentral is "partial 16S ribosomal RNA". It matches the Rfam family "Bacterial small subunit ribosomal RNA", at positions 339 to 795 of the family's 1533-position model. The record is from RNAcentral.